CGACGUUGUGUAGUCUCCCCUGGGAAAGGAGGGUCAGGCGAGUCCACGUGAGGGAAGCCCCCGCUGUGCGCGGAGCCCUCUGCUGGGCGGAGGGGGAGUGCCAGCCCCCAGGAGCUAAUCCCCGGCUGAUGGCGCAGGGCGCGGGGCUUGGCCGUCUAGUGUGAUGAAGGAGGCGACCCCCAAGGUGGGAAGGCGCACGGGUUGGGGUUUGAGGGUGGAUGAUUGGUGACGGAGGGUGUAUCUUCAGGAGGAGGUUCGAGUGAAGAUCAAAGACUUGAAUGAACACAUUGUUUGCUGCCUAUGCGCCGGCUACUUCGUGGAUGCCACCACCAUCACAGAGUGUCUUCAUACUUUCUGCAAGAGUUGUAUUGUGAAGUACCUCCAAACUAGCAAGUACUGCCCCAUGUGCAACAUUAAGAUCCACGAGACACAGCCACUGCUCAACCUCAAACUGGACCGGGUCAUGCAGGACAUCGUGUAUAAGCUGGUGCCUGGCUUGCAAGACAGUGAGUCACCAACCUGACUUUGAGGGGCCUCUUGAGGACUAAUUGCUGAGUGGCAGCUUGAGAUGAUGGGUUUGGUAGGACUCACGUAGGCAGAAGGCCAAAGAUGAGGGAAGGACAAAAAGUGAGGAAGGGCUAAUACUUUAUUCUUUUUUUUCUUUUUUUGAGACGGAGUCUUGCCCAGGCUGGAGUGCAGUGGCGCAAUCUCAGCUCACUGCAAGCUCCACCUCCUGGAUUCAUGCCAUUCUCCUGCCUCAGCCUCCUGAGUAGCUGGGGCUACAGGCGCCCACCACCAUGCCCAGCUAAUUUUUUGUAUUUUUUAGUAGAGACGGGG
Molecule: small RNA, 837 nt
Filed under: Pan troglodytes (chimpanzee)
Lineage: Eukaryota; Metazoa; Chordata; Mammalia; Primates; Hominidae
Description: retained intron
Source: RNAcentral